AGAUUUAGAUUGAAUGAUAUAAGUUCCAACCAUAGCACAUCACAAAAUAAAUGGAUUGCUUGCGAACUUUCUUGGCUUAUAUGGCAAUCUGACUUUUUUACGCUAUUAUUUAUUUUUAUGGAUCUAAAAGGCAUAUAUCAUAUAUGCUCAACUUCGUCCACCUCGAUUGUUGAGUUUUUUGCAGGGUUUAUCUUUAAGAAGUAUGAGAAUUAUACUGGGAGAAUCAAAUGCAGCUCAUCACUUGUCUAAUCCACCUCGAUUGCUGAGUUAUUUCUAGGCUUUAUCUUUAAGAAGUAUGAGAAUUAUACUGAGAGAAUGAAUUGCAUCUCAUCACUUAUCUUAUCCUCUACCUUAAAAAUCCUGCACACUUCACACUUCCUUUCCUGUAGGAUUUUUUCAGUUCCAUGUAUCCUGUCUUCUAGCUGUAUUUUCUAGCCUUGAUUUUCUUCUCAGUUGGGUCUUACAGUGUUCAGAGAUUUUCUUUCAUGUGAAGUAUUUUCUUCUAGCCCUAUUUUUCUUGUUCGUUGAACCUUAUAGUAAUUAGUAAUUCUCAUUUCUACGAAGUAAUUCUUUUUAGCCUCACUCUCACAAACACCCGCCAUCGCCAAGUAGGAGACCCUCUGUUGAAUUUGAGAUAUUUACCUAGCAUGUAAGGGACACGUAUGUUAAUUGCAAAUGGUACUUAUAUUUGCGAUGAGACGUGACAAAAAAACUGAAAUGAUAUAUAUUAGCUUUUGAACUUUUAUACAUUAAAUGAAGAUAGACCAUAUAAUAAAACGGCAAAAUACCGAACACCGGGUGAGAAACCAAAUAAAAAAGAACGGCAAAAUAUAUCAAGUAAAUAUAGUAGUAACUCUUAAUGAAAAUUAAUUAUUUAGAAAUGCACAAUUUAUGUGUUGUUUUGAAUGUUUUGCAGGAAAAUGUAUGCGAGGCGAGGCCAACAACUCAUGCCAAUUAUGGAGUUUGCGUUUUUGCAACUUAUCAACUGUAAAAUCUUUUUUAGUGCAGCUUCUAUAAAUUGUUU
RNAcentral lists this long non-coding RNA (1024 nucleotides) under Nicotiana tabacum (common tobacco). Its description in RNAcentral is "long non-coding RNA (NTAB_LNC011971)". The record is from RNAcentral. Lineage: Eukaryota; Viridiplantae; Streptophyta; Magnoliopsida; Solanales; Solanaceae.